Molecule: long non-coding RNA, 670 nt
Filed under: Olea europaea subsp. europaea
Lineage: Eukaryota; Viridiplantae; Streptophyta; Magnoliopsida; Lamiales; Oleaceae
Source: RNAcentral
AAAAAAAAAUAAUUUCCUUUUUCUUCAAACAUCAUUUUCAAACAGGUACACCCCCCUCCCCCCUUUUUCUCCAAAAAUAAAUAAAUAAAAUAAAUAAAAAUUUCCACUCGAAAACAAUCCUCUUCCCAAGCAAAGCUCUCACUUGAAGCAGGUGUCACGGGGUCAACCCGUCGCUAUUGGCAAUUUAUAUUCCGAUCUUAAAUUGCACACAGCAUCGUAAAAGGUAGAAGCCAAUUCAGUUCUGAUCGCAUUGGAAAAUGGCGAAAUCUGGUGUUUUCGCAUCAUCUUUGCAAUUCCUCUUCAUCACCGCCCUCUUAUGGGUAUCAUUUUCCGUUCCAGUUGAUGCAAAAACCAAAUCACCUCAAGGUUUCGUUAAGAAGGCCAUCUCUUCUCAUUCCAUCGUCAUCUUCUCCAAAUCUUACUGCCCGUAUGACUCUUUUCCCUUAAUUGAAUUUUUGUACGUUUGAAAUUAUUCUUUAUUUUAGUUUUUCCGUGCGCUUUUUACAUUGUACUAUCAGUUUCUUUGUUUUGAAAUUUGAUGCAUAGAUAUGUUUUGAAGGAGUAAAAUGGGAACUUUCUUGGAGAGAUUGUGAUAAAGGAAUUUUGACUAAUUAAGGAGGAACCCAUCGAUUAUUAGCUAUGAGCUAUUGUGGAAGUGUAAAGCUGAGUU